GAUGAACGCUGGCGGCGUGCCUAAUACAUGCAAGUCGAGCGAACAGACGAGGAGCUUGCUCCUCUGACGUUAGCGGCGGACGGGUGAGUAACACGUGGAUAACCUACCUAUAAGACUGGGAUAACUUCGGGGAACCGGAGCUAAUACCGGAUAAUAUAUUGAACCGCAUGGUUCAAUAGUGAAAGACGGUUUUGCUGUCACUUAUAGAUGGAUCCGCGCCGCAUUAGCUAGUUGGUAAGGUAACGGCUUACCAAGGCAACGAUGCGUAGCCGACCUGAGAGGGUGAUCGGCCACACUGGAACUGAGACACGGUCCAGACUCCUACGGGAGGCAGCAGUAGGGAAUCUUCCGCAAUGGGCGAAAGCCUGACGGAGCAACGCCGCGUGAGUGAUGAAGGUCUUCGGAUCGUGAAACUCUGUUAUUAGGGAAGAACAAAUGUGUAAGUAACUAUGCACGUCUUGACGGUACCUAAUCAGAAAGCCACGGCUAACUACGUG
Molecule: ribosomal RNA, 497 nt
Filed under: uncultured bacterium
Lineage: Bacteria
Description: partial 16S ribosomal RNA
Rfam family: Bacterial small subunit ribosomal RNA
Source: RNAcentral